RNAcentral lists this ribosomal RNA (397 nucleotides) under uncultured bacterium. RNAcentral's name for it is "partial 16S ribosomal RNA". It matches the Rfam family "Bacterial small subunit ribosomal RNA", at positions 523 to 918 of the family's 1533-position model. The record is from RNAcentral.
AUACGUAGGGGGCGAGCGUUGUCCGGAAUGAUUGGGCGUAAAGGGCGCGUAGGCGGCCUGUUAAGUCUGGAGUGAAAGUCCUGUUUUCAAGAUGGGAAUUGCUUUGGAUACUGAUGGGCUUGAGUGCAGGAGAGGUUAUCGGAAUUCCCGGAGUAGCGGUGAAAUGCGUAGAGAUCGGGAGGAACACCAGUGGCGAAGGCGGGUAACUGGACUGCAACUGACGCUGAGGCGCGAAAGUGUGGGGAGCAAACAGGAUUAGAUACCCUGGUAGUCCACGCUGUAAACGAUGAAUGCUAGGUGUAAGAGGUAUCGACCCCUUUUGUGCCGGAGUUAACACAAUAAGCAUUCCGCCUGGGGAGUACGGCCGCAAGGUUGAAACUCAAAUGAAUUGACGGGG